Long non-coding RNA from Astyanax mexicanus (Mexican tetra), 907 nucleotides. RefSeq lists it as uncharacterized. The record is from RefSeq and is a predicted model, not a curated record. The transcript is spliced from 2 exons. Lineage: Eukaryota; Metazoa; Chordata; Actinopteri; Characiformes; Acestrorhamphidae.
UAGAUAGAUGGUGUGUGUAUAAAUGCUGGAUCAGGAGUAGAUCAGAUCAGAUACGCCGCUCUUCCUUACAGCACCCUGACAACACUCAACUAAACACCAUGAGAGAUCUACAGACAAGAUGCAAGCUCCUGAGCUUGGAGAGGAAAUGCACUGAUGGUGUGGAACGCAUUAAGACUGCUCUGGAGAUCCAGCUGCACAGUGGCAUCUCUCACACAGACAUCUGGGAGAAGACGGUCUCGUUCUUCGCCCCAAAAAAGGCGCCAAUCUUCCACGACGGUUACUCCAAGUACUCCAGAGAAACCCUGCGCUUCUUCCCAGCCUCGGCUGAAGAUGUGGCCCCUCUGUGUUUUCAGCAGUAAUUUACCUUCAAAACACAGAACUGAAAUGAAACAGAAAUGAAAACCAGUCUCGAGAUGGAUAAACAUCACUCAGCACUGAUCCUGGAAUACUUGAAAUUUGAACUCUUUUUUUUUUUGUGAAUUUAUUUUGAUUAUUAUUUUUUGUUACUCUGAAGUAUCAGAGUUUGUAGCUUAACUGCAUGUGAGAAGUCUUUUGUAAAGACAGAUUUUGUUUUAAUGUUGUAAUGAACGCAGCCCUGCAUGGGUUUAAUUUUGUCCACAGAUGGACACUGGAAAUGCUAAUGUUCCUUAGCAGAACAUAACUUAAGUGUACUAUGAAGUGAAAUGUCUGUUUAACAGAUACGUGUAAUAUGUAAAUGUUGAGCAGAGGAUCUGAAUUAAAGCCACAUUCCUUUGUACAAAGGAACCAUUAGUAUGCGGUAAUGCAAAAAAAAAGUCUAUGUGUUAGAAUUUUAUAUUAUUUAAUACAUAUUUGCAAUGAUGUAUUACUUAAUAUGUAUUUUUGAAUAUUUGUACUGAAUGAUUUUUGUAAUAAAACCAGAAAAUAA